CCGAUGAGGUGGAAACGGACAGAGCUGGCGUAUCUGGCCUGCAUUCAGCCGCCGCGCGUCGGGCCCCGGUUUGCCGCACUCCAGAUUGGGAAGGUGGCUGGGCUGCUGGCGUGUCGGUGGUGCAUUUGCAGGUGGAGUGCGCCGAGGCGCUCGGCUCAGCGGCAUGAGCUCGGCUUUGAGGCCAACCGCGCAAGCGGUCUGGUACCCGGGUCGGGGGAGUGUUGUUUGGGCUGAGUGUUCGCGCUUGGGCACUGGUUUCGGGCCCGGUUGGGUGCCGAGCUGGCGGUGGACGGCGGUCGCGUGCGACACGUGUCUUCAGUCAGUUCGGUCCUGCUCGAGCUCUCGCGUGUCCGGCCUCGGUGUAAAAGCCGGUCGUCUGUCCGACCCGUCUUGAAACACGGACCAAGGAGUUUAGCGUGUGCGCGAGUCAUUGGGCGUUGAAAACCCAAAGGCGCAAUGAAAGUGAAGGUCUGCCUUGUGCAGCUGAUGUGUGAUCCUGGGCGCUGCGGUGCCCGGGCGCAACAUAGUCCCGUCCCGACUGCAUGCAGUGGGGCGGAGACAGAGCGUACGCGCUGAG
This 577-nucleotide ribosomal RNA is filed under the name Helicotylenchus microlobus. Its description in RNAcentral is "eukaryotic LSU rRNA". The stretch from base 402 to 577 matches the Rfam family "Eukaryotic large subunit ribosomal RNA", at positions 665 to 813 of the family's 3401-position model. Lineage: Eukaryota; Metazoa; Nematoda; Chromadorea; Rhabditida; Hoplolaimidae. The record is from RNAcentral.